RNAcentral lists this ribosomal RNA (325 nucleotides) under uncultured Ruminococcus sp. RNAcentral's name for it is "bacterial SSU rRNA". It matches the Rfam family "Bacterial small subunit ribosomal RNA", at positions 28 to 339 of the family's 1533-position model. The record is from RNAcentral. Lineage: Bacteria; Bacillati; Bacillota; Clostridia; Eubacteriales; Oscillospiraceae.
GAUGAACGCUGGCGGCGUGCUUAACACAUGCAAGUCGAGCGAAGCGUCUUUUGAUUUCUUCGGAUUGAAGGAGUGACUGAGCGGCGGACGGGUGAGUAACGCGUGGGGAACCUGCCCCAUACCGGGGGAUAACAGUUGGAAACGACUGCUAAUACCGCAUAAGCGCACAGGAAGGCAUCUUCCAGUGUAGAAAAACUCCGGUGGUAUGGGAUGGACCCGCGUUGGAUUAGCCAGUUGGUGGGGUAACGGCCUACCAAAGCGACGAUCCAUAGCCGGCCUGAGAGGGCGACCGGCCACAUUGGGACUGAGACGCGGCCCAAACUCC